CCCUAAAAGCCAUAAAAAUUCCAAAAAAAAAUUGGAUAAAUUCGGUGCAUGAUUGAAAGAGUUUUGGAUUUCUAAAACUCUAUCUCAUAGAAUUCAAAAUCCAAACUUAUUCCUUUUAGAUUUGAUCCAAACCACCUUCCAUGUAAGAAAGAUGAGAGGAGACCUUUUGUGAACGUGGGAGAAAUCUGGGAGAGGGAUUUUGUCACAUAAAAUAAGUGGAGAUUGGCGUUGAAUAAGAGAGAGGGCGU
This 248-nucleotide long non-coding RNA is filed under the name Elaeis guineensis (African oil palm). Its description in RNAcentral is "long non-coding RNA (EGUI_LNC048669)". Lineage: Eukaryota; Viridiplantae; Streptophyta; Magnoliopsida; Arecales; Arecaceae. The record is from RNAcentral.